This 205-nucleotide ribosomal RNA is filed under the name uncultured bacterium. RNAcentral describes it as "partial 16S ribosomal RNA". It matches the Rfam family "Bacterial small subunit ribosomal RNA", at positions 527 to 731 of the family's 1533-position model. The record is from RNAcentral.
GAAGGGACCUAGCGUAGUUCGGAAUUACUGGGCUUAAAGAGCUCGUAGGUGGUUAAAAAAGUUGGUGGUGAAAUCCCAAGGCUUAACCUUGGAACUGCCAUCAAAACUUUUUAGCUAGAGUGUGAUAGAGGAAAGUGGAAUUUCUAGUGUAGAGGUGAAAUUCGUAGAUAUUAGAAAGAACACCAAAUGCGAAGGCAACUUUCUG